CCAUGCAUUUACAGAUCUCUAAAAAUUGUUUUCUCUUUUGCAGUCCUUGAACUUUGGGCUUCACCCAUGCUGGGCCAGCAUUCUCCCUCCAAGCUGUGUCCCUCGAACUCAUUUUCAAAGUUUUACAAAGAUCCUGUACAGCAGUCCUCCCUGGUCAUGGAAGGUCCCAAGACCCCUGUCGCGUUAGACAUAAAGGAUCAAGAAGGUCUUGCUGCAUGUGAGGAAUCCAAGACACCCAACCACGAAACACCUGAGUUAUGGCCUGGGGAUUCAGCUCAGUGGUUCCACCGCCUGCCUCGCAAGCACAAGGUCCUGAGUUCGGUCCCUGAUACCAAAAAAAAAAUUAAAUAAAUAAAAC
Molecule: long non-coding RNA, 358 nt
Filed under: Fukomys damarensis (Damara mole-rat)
Lineage: Eukaryota; Metazoa; Chordata; Mammalia; Rodentia; Bathyergidae
Description: lncRNA (ENSFDAG00000023775.1)
Source: RNAcentral